AAUGAACGCUGGCGGCAUGCCUAACACAUGCAAGUCGAACGAAGGCUUCGGCCUUAGUGGCGCACGGGUGCGUAACGCGUGGGAAUCUGCCCCUUGGUUCGGAAUAACAGUUAGAAAUGACUGCUAAUACCGGAUGAUGACGUAAGUCCAAAGAUUUAUCGCCGAGGGAUGAGCCCGCGUAGGAUUAGCUAGUUGGUGUGGUAAGAGCGCACCAAGGCGACGAUCCUUAGCUGGUCUGAGAGGAUGAUCAGCCACACUGGGACUGAGACACGGCCCAGACUCCUACGGGAAGCAGCAGUGGGGAAUAUUGGACAAUGGGCGAAAGCCUGAUCCAGCAAUGCCGCGUGAGUGAUGAAGGCCUUAGGGUUGUAAAGCUCUUUUACCCGGGAUGAUAAUGACAGUACCGGGAGAAUAAGCUCCGGCUAACUCCGUG
RNAcentral lists this ribosomal RNA (433 nucleotides) under uncultured bacterium. Its description in RNAcentral is "partial 16S ribosomal RNA". It matches the Rfam family "Bacterial small subunit ribosomal RNA", at positions 29 to 507 of the family's 1533-position model. The record is from RNAcentral.